This 411-nucleotide long non-coding RNA is filed under the name Vulpes vulpes (red fox). RNAcentral's name for it is "lncRNA (ENSVVUG00000017736.1)". The record is from RNAcentral. Lineage: Eukaryota; Metazoa; Chordata; Mammalia; Carnivora; Canidae.
AUGUCUAUUCAAGUCUUGCUCAUUUUAAAACUGGGUUGUUCAUCUCUUUACUGUUGGUUGAUACCAUUUCUAAGCCUACCUCCAAGCAGAGUCUGUCUUGAAGGAGUUACCUGCCAGGACCACCUGCUGGGAAUAAGCUUAAGGAAAAGUCAAAACAAAGACAAGAAUUCCGCAAACAAUGCCGGUCAGUGGAACCUAAUAUGCAAGAGAGGAUUCAGGUGGUUCCAGGAGCUGAGAGAGCCUGGGACCAGCUGUGGACAGGACAACCUGAAUGGAGCUCUCCUCUUCCAGAGAUUGGGGUCCUCUGUUAGAGUCCUGCAAAAGGAGUUAGAGACCCAGCUCCUGGGAAGAUGCUACAACCAAAGUUCGUCCAAAAGCCAGGGAAGCAGUGACGCAGCCAAACCUUGGUGA